Molecule: ribosomal RNA, 460 nt
Filed under: uncultured bacterium
Lineage: Bacteria
Description: partial 16S ribosomal RNA
Rfam family: Bacterial small subunit ribosomal RNA
Source: RNAcentral
CCUACGGGCGGCAGCAGUGAGGAAUAUUGGUCAAUGGACGAGAGUCUGAACCAGCCAAGUAGCGUGAAGGAUCACUGCCCUAUGGGUUGUAAACUUCUUUUAUAUGGGAAUAAAAUGUUCCACGUGUGGGAUUUUGUAUGUACCAUAUGAAUAAGGAUCGGCUAACUCCGUGCCAGCAGCCGCGGUAAUACGGAGGAUCCGAGCGUUAUCCGGAUUUAUUGGGUUUAAAGGGAGCGUAGGUGGAUUGUUAAGUCAGUUGUGAAAGUUUGCGGCUCAACCGUAAAAUUGCAGUUGAAACUGGCAGUCUUGAGUACAGUAGAGGUGGGCGGAAUUCGUGGUGUAGCGGUGAAAUGCUUAGAUAUCACGAAGAACUCCGAUUGCGAAGGCAGUUCACUGGACUGCAACUGACACUGAGGCUCGAAAGUGUGGGUAUCAAACAGGAUUAGAUACCCUUGUAGUC